GGCUGUGGCGCAGUGGUAGAGCACUUGCUUGACAUACAGAAAGUCCCGGGUUCAAUUCCUGUCACCGCCA
Molecule: transfer RNA, 70 nt
Filed under: Sphaerodactylus townsendi
Lineage: Eukaryota; Metazoa; Chordata; Lepidosauria; Squamata; Sphaerodactylidae
Description: tRNA-Val
Source: RNAcentral